This is a long non-coding RNA of Cololabis saira (Pacific saury), 617 nucleotides long. RefSeq lists it as uncharacterized. The record is from RefSeq and is a predicted model, not a curated record. The transcript has 3 exons. NCBI's taxonomy places the organism in Eukaryota, Metazoa, Chordata, Actinopteri, Beloniformes, Belonidae.
GCAGACCUGCAGCUGCAGACCAUGGAUCUAUUGCUGCAGACCCGGAGGCAGCAGAUCUGAGCAGCAGUUCUAGACGUCACAGAGCCCCCUACUGGAUUACUUUAUAACUGCAACUAAAUCAACAGUUCAGAUCGAGACUUCUCGUUUUUUUCCGGCAGCGUGCUCUUUUCUCCUUUUCUCAAGAUGGAUGACGACCGGAGUGUACACAUAACAAUCCAGAAAGGAAGGGCCUUGCCCCAACUUCACAGAUGCACAUCAUGCUGCAAUAACUACCACUGUCCAUUCUGCAGCCCUACAGUUUACUACCCCUCCCCGUUGAACAAAUGUCAGAUACACAUGGAUCUUCAUUUUAACAGAGCUGUUAGCCAUGAAGAAUACACCAUUCACAGAUGUGGACUGGGAUGUCGGCCGCAGCUGCAUUAUCACUGUCCAUACUGCAGUUCAACAAUAAAACGGCAUCAAUGUUUCAAAAGCAUUAAUAUUAGCACAACUUUAUCAGCUUGGUGGGAAUUUCUUAAAAUAGCUAAAAUUUCACUUUUUCCAUGUGACCGUACACCCAUAUGGAACAACCCAGACAUCGUGAAAAAUGAUAAAAAGAUGGUUAACUUCGUUCAAUG